The sequence is a ribosomal RNA, 658 nucleotides long. The stretch from base 260 to 414 matches the Rfam family "5.8S ribosomal RNA".
CCUGCGGAAGGAUCAUUGUCGAAACCUGCCCAGCAGAACGACCCGUGAACAUGUUAUAUACUCUCGAGCAUUGGGGUGAUGUAGGCAGUCUUGUGCUCCUACUUGCCCUUGUUUGAGCCAAGGGCCACCUUUGGGUUUCCCCUUGGCAACUCAACGAACCCCGGCGCGAAAAGCGUCAAGGAAAUAACAUUUAUAUGAGCUCCCUCCUUCCGCCCGGUUAGCCGGUGCGUUGGUGUGGUGCCAUGCCAUAACAUUAAACGACUCUCGGCAACGGAUAUCUCGGCUCUCGCAUCGAUGAAGAACGUAGCGAAAUGCGAUACUUGGUGUGAAUUGCAGAAUCCCGUGAACCAUCGAGUCUUUGAACGCAAGUUGCGCCCGAGGCCUUUGGCUGAGGGCACGUCUGCCUGGGCGUCACGCAUCGCAGUCCCCUACACCCACUAUAAGUGGUAUAGGAAGAAGAUGGUUUCCCGUCCCUUACCGGGCACGGUUGGCCUAAAAUUGGAGCUCAAGGCAUCGAGUUGCCGCGGCGAUAGGUGGUGAACAAGGUCAAGGCCGUGGAAACAACCAGUCGUGGAACCCUUUGCCAAUUGAAGCUCGUAGGACCCUUUCAUGUUGCCUUGUUGUGACGCAAAUGUUGCGACCCCAGGUCAGGCGGGGC